Molecule: unclassified non-coding RNA, 390 nt
Filed under: uncultured Ehrlichia sp.
Lineage: Bacteria; Pseudomonadati; Pseudomonadota; Alphaproteobacteria; Rickettsiales; Anaplasmataceae
Source: RNAcentral
GUACGAGAGGACCGAGUUGGACAUACCUCUGGUGUACCAGUUGUUGUGCCAACAGCAUAGCUGGGUAGCUAAGUAUGGAUAGGAUAAUUACUGAAAGCAUCUAAGUAAGAAACCUUCCUUAAGAUUAGAUUUCCCUAUUAGGGCCGUGAAAGACUAUCACGUUGAUAGGCUGGGUGUGUAAGUAUGGUAACAUAUGUAGCUAACCAGUACUAAUAGCCCGAUUGAUUUACUUAAUUUGUAACUAUAUGUAGUGUUAAAACUGCAAUUUAUCUUUUUGCUUACUUGGUUUAUAGCUUAAUUGGGUUGGUGGUAAUAGCAGAAGUGGUACACCCAGCUUUACAUUUCGAACCUGGAAGUUAAGCCUUCUAGCGCUGAUGGUACUUUGUCUUA